GCCAAGGUAGCUCAGUGGUAGAGUCUCGCAGUCCUGCGAGAAAAAGCCUUGUGUCGGCAGUUCGAUUCUGCCUCUUGGCA
RNAcentral lists this transfer RNA (80 nucleotides) under Candidatus Peribacteria bacterium. RNAcentral's name for it is "tRNA-OTHER". It matches the Rfam family "tRNA". From Rfam's summary of the family: Transfer RNA (tRNA) molecules are approximately 80 nucleotides in length. The record is from RNAcentral. Lineage: Bacteria; Candidatus Peregrinibacteriota; Candidatus Peribacteria.